This is a non-coding RNA of Physocladia obscura, 84 nucleotides long. NCBI's taxonomy places the organism in Eukaryota, Fungi, Chytridiomycota, Chytridiomycetes, Chytridiales, Chytriomycetaceae. The record is from the annotation of a GenBank genome assembly.
UGGGUAGUUAUCCUAGUUGGUUAAGGAGGUUUACUGUAAAUAAAUUGGCUGCCGCCCUCGCAUGUUCGACUCAUGCCUACCCAA